Molecule: non-coding RNA, 30 nt
Filed under: Rattus norvegicus (Norway rat)
Lineage: Eukaryota; Metazoa; Chordata; Mammalia; Rodentia; Muridae
Source: RNAcentral
UGCUUACUAAUUCUUAGAGGACCACUCCAA